GCCAAUAGAGGGUGAGAGAGACCCGACUCGAAGGCGGACAAGAAGAACGCCGACCCCCGCCUCACCCAGAUGGUGGCGAACAGGGCUGGAGACGGAUCGCGCGGUUCUGUGCAUUCAUUCCGUCCUCUCGACGGCGAUGCGAAUUCUUUGGCUACUUAAAGAUUGUAUCCCUUCGGAGAUAAUGGUUGUCUUUAGGUCUUGCCUUCUGUAAUCGCUGCUUCGAUCGCGCUUGUUGGGUGAUUCACCAUCGAUCCAAGAAGUCAUCCUGGGAGGAAUAGCAAUUGCAAGAAAGAUAUGGAGGAACAACAUCACCGCCUACCAAAAGAAGAAAAGAAAUUGCCAUCAUCGUCGCCUCUCUCCUCUAAUUCUUCUUCAUGAAUCGAGGACGACAUCCAAGGAGCGUUGGGAAAUCAGUCACCCAAGAAAAGUCGAGGCCAGUUUGCCAGACCUUGCGGGCAUCAUUGUCGAGACUACAUCCAAGGUUGAUGAUCCGCAAACGUGUACUCAUUACGCGACUGAUAUCUAUGAUUACCUCAGAUCAUUGGAGGAAGUUCAUUCUAUGUGGUCAAGAAGAUUGCGAAUUUUCAAGCCAGCUGUUAGAGUUUCUAGGUAGCAACCUCGGUGAGUUGAGUUUGAUAGACUAUGAUUUGCAGCUGAACGAGAAAGCAAUCCGAUGGAAGACUACCAGAAUACAAUACAAGCAGCCUCAGGUACAUGUCUUUCAAGCAAAAAAUACUUCUAUGUGAUGGAUACAUGUACAACAAUCUUGAUCUCAUUGCAUCUGUCUGACUGUGUUCUUCUGCCUAUUGAUACCUCUCGCAUCUUAAAAUUAAAGGUGUGUUUGAGUCCCUCAAGAGAGCCCCAAAGAAUGCUAAUGUUGACACAGAAUAUAAAAUUGCGCAUGAUUUUGAACAAUCCAUUUUUCUCUCCCAUGAGGGAAUUCUCUAGGGGUUCCAUCACAGCCUGCAGACUAAGAGCCUCUAGUUUAGAAACGCCAAACCCACAAAAAAGAGAAUACCAGAAAAUACACAAGAAGCAUAGCCUCAAGUAUGAAGCUAUGUUGCAGGGAACUACUAGAAAUUUGCAUGGGUCUCCAAGUGAGAACCCAAUGUUCACAGCUGCUUUAUUAGACAUUUUUUUCUCAGCGUGUUGACUAUACUUAGCAUUAAAAUAAGAAUCGUGUCUAUUUGUACUGCAAUUAGCUUUAACCAUUUUGUCAUUUUUAAUCACUGGCAUGUGUUUCUUUGUCAUCCGUUUCAACUUCUACAAUUGGUGAAUUUUCCUUCCAACUUCUUGCUUUACAUGAUGAAGUUUGACAUAACAUCUGUGCUUGAAUUCAUUUCUCAUUAUUAUAGUAUUGAGAUGCUUUUUGUUUUUGUUUUGGCUGGCAGCUGUUAAUUUAGUCCUUGUUAGUGAUUGAUCCAAUUAGAAUUUCUACUGAACACAUUCUCCCCUUAUAAUUCGAUCAUGGAUCUGUUAUGUUUGAAUUCUAAAAAUUAUUUGAUCAUACUAUUAUUAUUCACACUUCAAAGCCAAACCAUCUGACAAACGCUAUAAUCUGUUUAUAUAAUGGACUGUGAUUUCAGUUUACAUUGGUUGUUUCUUGCAAACUAGCCAGGUGGCAGUCAGUUGGGUUUGACAUAUCUGAAGAAAUACCUACGGUUAGUCUCGAGAAGGCAUCGCAUCAUAAACUAUCUAUUUGCGUUGUGAGCGAAUAGAACUUAAGAGUAGCAAUUAUUCGAUCGAAGUUAAUCUUGAUUUCGAUAGUUACUUCGAGAAAGUUAGUUUCUAUCAGGUUGUUACGUUUUACUAUUUUGUGAAACCAUUUCCAAAUGGUUCUAAUCAGUAAUUCUUUAAUAACCGUAUUGGGGGAUUGAAGAUGCCUGCAGGGGGAGCCCACACUGAAGCUGACGUGGCUGCAUCGUGGGAGAACCAGCAUCGGAAAGCUUUCUGACACGGACCGGUCAAGAAGAUGGCAAAGGGAAUCAAGAAACAAGAAAUAUAAGGAAAGGCAACACCAGAUCGCCGGUCCUCCUUCGUUGCGGGUUACAUCCAAGGAGCGCCGACGAUGGAUCAGUCCCCCAAGAAAGACGUGGCCAGGUCGCCCGACUCCCAUGCCGCCUCUCAGGCAGGAGAUCUCCCCUCAACCACUGCGGGCCGCGUCCAAGGAGUGUCGGGGGAUCCGUCUCCCAAGAGAGACGUGGUCAUGUAGCAGGACGUCCGUGUUACGCCCCAGGCACCGAGUGCCACCCCGUCCAUCACUGUAGAGCACAUCCAAAGAGCGCCGGGGUUUCAGUCUCCCAAGAAAGAGGUGGCGAAGCCGGACCUCCCCGUCAUGUCGCAGGCAGGGACUGCCCCCUCGACUGCUGCCGACUGUAUCCAAGGAGCGUCGGGUAAUCAGUCCAGCCAUAAGAAAGAUGGCACCGGACCGCCGGACAUCCUCGGCACCUUCACUGGCGGAGCCGGCCCCCUCGAUCUCUGCGGAUUGCACCCAAAGGAGCGUCGGGAGAUCAAUCUUCCACGAAAGACAAUUCCAGGCCGUCGGACCUCCCUGGCACCUCCCAGGCGGUGACUGCCCCCUCGACCUGUGCGGAUUGCACCCAAGGAGCGUCGGGAGAUCAGUCUUCCAAGAAAGCCGAUUCCAGGCCAUCGGAUCUCCCUGGCACCUCUCAGACGGCGACUGCCCCCUCGACCUGUGCGGACUGCACCCAAGGAGCGUCGGGAGAUUAGGAUUCCAAGAAAGACGAUUUCAGGCCAUCGGAUCUCCCUGGCACCUCUCAGGCAGCGACUGCCCCCUCGACCUGUGCGGACUGCACCCAAGGAGAUUACGUAGAUGUUGAUGAUUCGCAGAUGUGCAUACCUUACGUGUCUGAUAUCUAUGGUUACCUCAGAUCAAGGGAGGUGAAGCUGAGGCCAUUAAUGAACUACUUGGAGGCAGUUCAGAUCGGAAUCACAGCCACGAUGAGGAACUACUUCCGUCUGCGCUAAGAUAUCCUUUGCCUUGCUGUCUCUUACGUUGAUAGAUCCCUUUCCUCAUUCACCGUUAUAGGACCUCGUCUUCAACUGCUUGGGGCUUCUGCCAUUUGCGUUGCAUGGAAUGUUAUUUGUCUCAAGAUCCUCUCUCUCUCUCUCUCUCACUCACUUUUUCUUUCCCCCUUGAAUAUCUUUUGCUGCGUCAUUUGGUCAUCUUGUUGAUGGAACUUGUUGCAUGGGGUUCCACCAAUGCAUGCAGGAAGUACGCAGAGCAGAAAAACCCUGGGAUGAAACACAUGUGCCAUAUAGCUCAUGAUGUUUACCGGAAGGACGAAGUGUUGAACAUGGAGAUCAGCAUUCUAAGACAUAUGAGAUUUGAUAUGGGCAGUCCCACGGUCAAGACAUUUCUCGGAUGCCCUUUCUCGAGUCCUUAUAGUGUCAUGAGAUUUUGCGCAGCGUUAAGCGUCUGGUGAAUUCUCUUCUCUUAUAACUUUGAUCGCUAAUUAAAUUUGCUAUAUUGUGGUUAUAGGAGAUUCACACAGGCUGGUAGAGACGAUGGCAAAUACUUGUAUGCGAACUUAGAAUUCCUGGCGAGCUACUUUGGAGAGUUGACUCUAAUGGACUAUGGCUGUCUUUGGUUCUUGGCAUCGGUAGUUGCAGCUUCUGCUGUUUUCGUUGCUAGAUUCACGCUCGAUCCGAGAAGUCAUCCCUGGGUAAGACACUUUCAGUUUACUCAAAGUGUCGUGCGUUUUGCUGGAUGCCAAAACUUGAAACCGUGCACUCGUUAUUAUGUGAUUGAUCUCAAGUUUGCAUGUCAUGAUUUGCAUUUGAACGAGGAAACAUCCCACUAUAUGGGCAACAGAUACUGUCGCGACGAAGUUUUAUCUUUCAUACAGAACUACAUCUAUAUAUGUUGACAGGUUAUUCUAACCCAGGGUAGUUUCCCUGAGAAGGCUGAAUGAGAUGUUAUUGUGGGUUGCCAA
Musa acuminata AAA Group (dessert banana) is the source of this 3956-nucleotide RNA transcript. RefSeq lists it as uncharacterized. NCBI's taxonomy places the organism in Eukaryota, Viridiplantae, Streptophyta, Magnoliopsida, Zingiberales, Musaceae. The transcript is spliced from 9 exons. The record is from RefSeq and is a predicted model, not a curated record.